GCCUGGGUGGCUCAGUCAGUUAAGCAUCUGACUUCGACUCAGGUCAUGAUCUCACGGUCUGUGGGUUCAAUCCCUGCAUCAGGCU
This 85-nucleotide transfer RNA is filed under the name Felis catus (domestic cat). It matches the Rfam family "tRNA". Rfam says of the family: Transfer RNA (tRNA) molecules are approximately 80 nucleotides in length. Their secondary structure includes four short double-helical elements and three loops (D, anti-codon, and T loops). The record is from Rfam by way of RNAcentral. Lineage: Eukaryota; Metazoa; Chordata; Mammalia; Carnivora; Felidae.